This 497-nucleotide ribosomal RNA is filed under the name uncultured bacterium. Its description in RNAcentral is "partial 16S ribosomal RNA". It matches the Rfam family "Bacterial small subunit ribosomal RNA", at positions 28 to 507 of the family's 1533-position model. The record is from RNAcentral.
GAUGAACGCUGGCGGCGUGCCUAAUACAUGCAAGUCGAGCGAACAGACAAGGAGCUUGCUCCUCUGACGUUAGCGGCGGACGGGUGAGUAACACGUGGAUAACCUACCUAUAAGACUGGGAUAACUUCGGGAAACCGGAGCUAAUACCGGAUAAUAUAUUGAACCGCAUGGUUCAAUAGUGAAAGACGGUUUUGCUGUCACUUAUAGAUGGAUCCGCGCCGCAUUAGCUAGUUGGUAAGGUAACGGCUUACCAAGGCAACGAUGCGUAGCCGACCUGAGAGGGUGAUCGGCCACACUGGAACUGAGACACGGUCCAGACUCCUACGGGAGGCAGCAGUAGGGGAUCUUCCGCAAUGGGCGAAAGCCUGACGGAGCAACGCCGCGUGAGUGAUGAAGGUCUUCGGAUCGUAAAACUCUGUUAUUAGGGAAGAACAAAUGUGUAAGUAACUAUGCACGUCUUGACGGUACCUAAUCAGAAAGCCACGGCCAACUACGUG